Molecule: unclassified non-coding RNA, 535 nt
Filed under: Hevea brasiliensis (rubber tree)
Lineage: Eukaryota; Viridiplantae; Streptophyta; Magnoliopsida; Malpighiales; Euphorbiaceae
Source: RNAcentral
AGGUUUACGAGCUACAUGGCCCUGGUAAAUAUAUUAUCCAUUCACUUUACUUCUUUUCCACUAACUCAUACUUCAACAAACAGCAUGGCAACCACCGGUAACUGAAGAUAUGCAAGGUUGAGGAAUGACUUCUGAGGCAUUGAAGUUUGAAUGAUCUCUUAAGUUCUUCCACUCCCUUGAAUACUAUUUGAAUUUGGAUGCUGGAUUGGAAGCCUUGGGUGAGUUGAGUUGGUAAGGAACCUCAUUGCCAAAAGUAAAUCAUGUUUGCAGAAAAUUACUGCAGUGCUCUAUGAUCAGUUGUUUGAGGUGGAAAUUUCCAGUUGGUGGUUGAAAGGAAAAUUUGUUUAGUAAAGGUAGCUUAGGGUUUGCAUGCUUAUUAUUUUGGCACAUCAGUACAAGGUCUGCUGAAGUGCCUUGAAGACAGUUUAAUGUUGUGCUGUUUUUGGACCGGUUCCACUUGAAUUUAGUGGAUUGAAUUGUAAAGUGACUAUCUUGAUUCUUUAUCUCUACAGAUACACUCUCGAUUUUCUACAAA